CAAAGUAUCCUAGUUUCCACUCGAAAAAGCAAACAGCGAUCAAGUUCUACACUGUGGAGAAGUACACGGUUUCUGUUUUUAGCCAUUGGCAUUAAUUGGAACGACCAUGAUUAGCGGAGCUACUACUCCUUUGCUUCACACCGAAGUGUAAGCAGACACCACCCACACAUGUCCCGCCCGUAAGCAGUGCCACUUAGAUUUGGAGCAGGGGACCAAAUUGAACGACCACCAUGUCCACCAAGUACAGAGGGAGUACUUGGUAGUAGUUGGUACUACGUCCCUCCCGUCUCGUACGGUGUCACCUGCGCUUGACUUGUCCACGUGCAUGUGCCACAUCGCGGACGAUUUCUCCUUUUAACAUAGUUUAGCCCAAACUAACCUCCGUUGUAAAAAAAAUAAAAAAAAUCUGUCCCUUUUCCUACUUGUGACGGUAGGCGUACACACUCUACCAUCAUCUAUUACGGCGGUAGCCACUUAUCCACGUCAACAUGAUUAGAUGAAGUCAUCCACGUUGAUCUAAACAUAUUGUCACAGAAAGUGACGGUAGGGUGUGUAUGCCUACCGACACAGAGGAUAACGGUAGGAAAAAAAAUUAGAUUCAUUUUUUUUUCACAAACGGAUCAAACCAGGCUAAAAAUACCAAAAUGGUCAAAACAGUGAAUUUGUCCCCACCAAACCGCUACAGCAACUGUUGACCUACACGGUGCCGUCCGUUGCCUGUGUACGCAUCCUCGCGCAGGUUUCCGGCUGUGUUCAUCUUUGCGCCGCUCGCCUCCAAGGCAUCAGUCCAUUCAGCAAACGGAAAUCUUGUGCCUGCUGGCCCGGGGUUUCCCCGGAAGGUAUGGCGGGCAGCGUGCGUGGACGGCGACGUUCGGGUGGCGACCGGCGUGUCUGCUUCGCCGAGGCCGGCGUCUCCGGUCCGCAGCCGAGGGUUUCUCGAGAGGGAUGUGUGGUAAGGUGAUGCCCCGGGCCGAGCCGGAUGGAUCAGAGCAUAUCCAUUCCUUGCAACCUACACGCUCUGGAUAGAUAGAUAGAUCGACGCACGAACGCACAGAUGGCGUGGCCAAGUAUCCUCCUAGAUAUCCUACUCCACC
Molecule: long non-coding RNA, 1094 nt
Filed under: Hordeum vulgare
Lineage: Eukaryota; Viridiplantae; Streptophyta; Magnoliopsida; Poales; Poaceae
Description: long non-coding RNA (HVUL_LNC005356)
Source: RNAcentral